CCAAAAUUAAACUUUGUUUGAUUUCAACAAAAAUUGAAAAUAUGGGUUUUUUCAAUAUGCUGAAUCUAACCAUGUAUUUAGAUUUUUAAUAUUUUGGCCCUGUUAUCAAAUUGGUCCACAUUGAGGUCUAAAGGGUCUAAAAUUUAACAUUAUUUGAUUUCAUCAAAAAUUGAAUUCUUGGGGUUCUAUGCUAUGCUUGAAUCUAACCAUGUAUUUAGAUUUUGGAUAUUGGACCAUAAUAGGUAAAUGUCCAAUUUAAAGUUUUCAAGUUUAAGUUCUUAGAACACAUUCAUUCUGUGUCAGAAACCUAUGUUGUGUCAACUAUUUAAUCACAAUCCAAAGUCAGAGCUGUAUCAAGUUUAAAUGUUGUGUCCAUACUUGCCCCAACUGUUCAGGGUUCGACCUUUGCGGUCGUAAAAAGCUGCGCCCUGUGGAGCAUCUGGUUGUAUUUAGAUUUGGGAAUUACUUAUAAUAUAUCAAUGGUAUUUGGUAUGCAGUUGUAUUAGCAUUGGCACAUCUCAUUUACAUUGAGAUUGUUUAAUCAUGUAACUCAGUCCUGGUUUAUUGACUUUGAAAUUUUUCUCAUUUCAGAUUUUAGAAAUUAAAAAGAAAAUUUCUUCAUUAAUUCUUUUUGAGGGGAUUAAUAUCCAACAGCAUAGUGUAUUGCGUCAGAAAUCUAUGCUGUGUCAACUAUUUAAUCACAAUCCAAAUUUAGAACUGUAUCAAGCUUGAAUAUUGUGUCCAUACUUGCCCCA
This 755-nucleotide long non-coding RNA is filed under the name Mytilus galloprovincialis (Mediterranean mussel). The record is from RNAcentral. Lineage: Eukaryota; Metazoa; Mollusca; Bivalvia; Mytilida; Mytilidae.